AGUGAACGCUGGCGGUAGGCCUAAUACAUGCAAGUCGAACGGCAGCACAGUAAGAGCUUGCUCUUACGGGUGGCGAGUGGCGGACGGGUGAGGAAUACAUCGGAAUCUACCUUUUCGUGGGGGAUAACGUAGGGAAACUUACGCUAAUACCGCAUACGACCUACGGGUGAAAGCAGGGGAUCUUCGGACCUUGCGCGAUUGAAUGAGCCGAUGUCGGAUUAGCUAGUUGGCGGGGUAAAGGCCCACCAAGGCGACGAUCCGUAGCUGGUCUGAGAGGAUGAUCAGCCACACUGGAACUGAGACACGGUCCAGACUCCUACGGGAGGCAGCAGUGGGGAAUAUUGGACAAUGGGCGCAAGCCUGAUCCAGCCAUACCGCGUGGGUGAAGAAGGCCUUCGGGUUGUAAAGCCCUUUUGUUGGGAAAGAAAAGCAGCAGGUUAAUACCCCGCUGUUCUGACGGUACCCAAAGAAUAAGCACCGGCUAACUUCGUG
This 492-nucleotide ribosomal RNA is filed under the name uncultured bacterium. RNAcentral's name for it is "partial 16S ribosomal RNA". It matches the Rfam family "Bacterial small subunit ribosomal RNA", at positions 29 to 507 of the family's 1533-position model. The record is from RNAcentral.